GACGAACGCUGGCGGCGUGCUUAACACAUGCAAGUCGAACGGAAAGGCCUGCUUUCCCUUGUGGAUUGCGGGUACUCGAGUGGCGAACGGGUGAGUAACACGUGAGUUAUCUGCCCCCAACUUGGGUAUAAGCCUGGGAAACUGGGUCUAAUUCCCGAUAGGACUGCAGGGUGGUGCCUGUGGUGGAAAACGAUUUUCUAGUGGUUGGGGAUGAGCUCGCGGACUAUCAGCUUGUUGGUCGGGUAAUGGCCUACCAAGGCUGCGACGGGUAGCCGGCCUGAGAGGGUGGACGGCAACAUUGGGACUGAGAUACGGCCCAGACUGCUACGGGAGGCAGCAGUGGGGAAUAUUGCACAAUGGGCGGAAGCCUGAUGCAGCGACGCCGCGUGGGGGAUGACGGCCUUCGGGUUGUAAACUCCUUUCGACCGCGAGGAAGCCACCUGGUUGGAAGGGUGGUGACGGUAGUGGUAGAAGAAGCACCGGCUAACUACGUG
Molecule: ribosomal RNA, 494 nt
Filed under: uncultured bacterium
Lineage: Bacteria
Description: partial 16S ribosomal RNA
Rfam family: Bacterial small subunit ribosomal RNA
Source: RNAcentral